GGGCCGCUAACUCAAUCGGUAGAGUGACAGCCUUUUAAGCUGUAAGUUCUGGGUUCGAGUCCCAGGCGGCUCA
Molecule: transfer RNA, 73 nt
Filed under: candidate division CPR3 bacterium GWE2_35_7
Lineage: Bacteria; candidate division CPR3
Also listed under: 5 other names
Description: tRNA-Lys
Rfam family: tRNA
About the family: Transfer RNA (tRNA) molecules are approximately 80 nucleotides in length.
Source: RNAcentral